RNAcentral lists this ribosomal RNA (255 nucleotides) under uncultured bacterium. Its description in RNAcentral is "partial 16S ribosomal RNA". It matches the Rfam family "Bacterial small subunit ribosomal RNA", at positions 524 to 776 of the family's 1533-position model. The record is from RNAcentral.
UACAUGGGGUGCAAACGUUGCUCGGAAUUAUUGGGCGUAAAGCGCACGUAGGCGGUUCGUUAAGUCGGAUGUGAAAGCCCUCGGCUCAACUGAGGAAGUGCACCCGAAACUGGCGAGCUUGAGUACGAAAGAGGAUCGCGGAAUUCCCGGUGUAGAGGUGAAAUUCGUAGAUAUCGGGAGGAACACCGGGUGGCGAAAGCGGCGAUCUGGGUCGAUACUGACGCGUGAGGUGCGAAAGCGUGGGGAGCAAACAGG